AGCAGCCGCGGUAAUUCCAGCUCCAAUAGCGUAUAUUAAAGUUGCUGCAGUUAAAAAGCUCGUAGUUGAAUUUCGGGGUCAGUAGGUUGGUCGUGCCACUGGUAUGUACUGGCUUCACUGAUUCCUCCCUCUUGUAGAACCGUAAUGCCAUUAAGUUGGUGUUGCGGGGAAACAGGACUGUUACUUUAGAAAAAAUUAGAGUGUUUAAAGCAGGCUAACGCUUGAAUACAUUAGCAUGGAAUAAUGAAAUAGGACGUUUGAUCCUAUUUUGUUGGUUUCUAGGAUUGACGUAAUGAUUAAUAGGGAUAGUUGGGGGCAUUAGUAUUCAAUUGUCAGAGGUGAAAUUCUUGGAUUUAUUGAAGACUAACUACUGCGAAAGCAUUUGCCAAGGAUGUUUUCAUUAAUCAAGAACGAAAGUUAGGGGAUCGAAGACGAUCAGAUACCGUCGUAGUCUUAACCAUAAACUAUGCCGACUAGGGAUCGGAUGAUGUUAAUUUUUUAAUGACUCAUUCGGCGCCUU
RNAcentral lists this ribosomal RNA (520 nucleotides) under uncultured Glomeromycotina. RNAcentral's name for it is "SSU rRNA". It matches the Rfam family "Eukaryotic small subunit ribosomal RNA", at positions 569 to 1089 of the family's 1831-position model. The record is from RNAcentral. Lineage: Eukaryota; Fungi; Glomeromycota.